This 144-nucleotide ribosomal RNA is filed under the name Amphilophus citrinellus (Midas cichlid). RNAcentral's name for it is "5.8S ribosomal RNA (ENSACIG00000023784.1)". It matches the Rfam family "5.8S ribosomal RNA". Rfam says of the family: 5.8S ribosomal RNA (5.8S rRNA) is a component of the large subunit of the eukaryotic ribosome. It is transcribed by RNA polymerase I as part of the 45S precursor that also contains 18S and 28S rRNA. Lineage: Eukaryota; Metazoa; Chordata; Actinopteri; Cichliformes; Cichlidae. The record is from RNAcentral.
GACUCUUAGCAGUGCAUCACUCGGCUCGUGCGUCGAUGAAGAAUGCAGCUAGCUGCAAAAACUAAUGUGAAUUGCAGGAUGCAUUGAUCGUCGACAUCGAAUGCACCACUGUUAAUUUUGACAGCAAAUUUUGAUUUAGUUUUA